UACGGAGGGUGCAAGCGUUGUUCGGAAUUACUGGGCGUAAAGCGCGGGCAGGUGGCCCGUUAAGUCUGCGGUGAAAUCCCGGGGCUCAACCCCGGAUAUGCCGCGGAUACUGGCGGGCUAGAGACUGGUAGAGGCGAGUGGAAUUCCUGGUGUAGCGGUGGAAUGCGUAGAGAUCCGGAAGAACACCGAUGGUGAAGACAGGCCGCUGGGCUUGUUCUGACGCUGAGGCACGAAAGCGUGGGGAGCAAACAGG
RNAcentral lists this ribosomal RNA (253 nucleotides) under uncultured bacterium. Its description in RNAcentral is "partial 16S ribosomal RNA". It matches the Rfam family "Bacterial small subunit ribosomal RNA", at positions 524 to 776 of the family's 1533-position model. The record is from RNAcentral.